GACGAACGCUGGCGGCGUGGAUUAGGCAUGCAAGUCGAACGGUAUCAUCCUUUCGGGGAUGAGAGAGUGGCGAACGGGUGAGUAACACGUAGGUGAUCUACCCUCAAGACGGGGACAACCCAGGGAAACUUGGGCUAAUACCGGAUGUGAGCUAUCGUGAGAUAGUUUGAAAGGUGGCUUCGGCUGCCGCUUGAGGAUGAGCCUGCGUCCUAUUAGCUAGUUGGUGAGGUAACGGCUCACCGAGGCAGUGAUAGGUAGGCGGCCUUAACGGGUGGUCGCCCACACUGGGAUUGAGAUACGGCCCAGACUCCUACGGGAGGCAGGCAGUCGAGAAUAGUCUACAAUGGUCGAAAGACUGAUAGUGCGACGCCGCGUGAACGAGAAGCCCUUCGGGUGUAAAGUCUUUUAUAUGUGAGCAGUGACAUCUAUAUUAAUAGUAUGGGUGUAGAGAUAUUAGCAUAUGAAUAAGCAACGGCUAACUCCGUGCC
Molecule: ribosomal RNA, 488 nt
Filed under: uncultured bacterium
Lineage: Bacteria
Description: bacterial SSU rRNA
Rfam family: Bacterial small subunit ribosomal RNA
Source: RNAcentral